Long non-coding RNA from Tupaia belangeri chinensis (Chinese tree shrew), 167 nucleotides. RefSeq lists it as uncharacterized. The transcript is spliced from 2 exons. Lineage: Eukaryota; Metazoa; Chordata; Mammalia; Scandentia; Tupaiidae. The record is from RefSeq and is a predicted model, not a curated record.
UUUGGAGCUGCUCUCUCUGCUGUACUUCUGCUUUUUCUUUCCAUCUGAAACCAAACUGACAGCUUUCCACUGGCCCUAACUUGUUCAACUGCUGGGACUUGCAUGGAAGAAUGGCUUACGGCUUGGGGAUUUAUGAAACUGUGUCCUCCCAAUGGCAGUAUUGCCUC